AUUUAUGUCUACAUAUAGGUUUUCUAGGAUCAAAUUCAGGUACAUACCAAGGAAACCAAGUUUAAAACUACAUGUAUUUUAAGACACUUAUAAUUUAAGGCACUUUAGACUUGGCCUGAUUUUUUUAGACCCCUAUUCCUUUUUUUAUUUAGAGUCUAUUAACCUACAAAUGUUCUCAUUCAUUGCAUUCAUUGUAAAGAGUAUGUUUCACCUGUGUCCCUUUUGGUAACCUUUACCCCUGAAAACAUGUUCACCUAAUUCAUAAAUGGCUUGAGAUUCAGUUACAGUUCAAGCAUUUCGUGUUUGAAAGGAGAGUUGCUCAACAAUCUCAAGCUUUAAUGUCAACUGCGUGAGUCCAUGAGUGGGUGAGUGGAGAUAUUCACCUGUCAGAGCCCAAAGGAGGAGUUUGGAAAGGUUAGAAAAGGGUGAAUGGAAUAAGGACUGGGUCUGCUAUCUUUAAACAUCUGCCCACACUAGUAAGUUGGUUUAACUUGAUUUUAGCGAUAUGUUGGAUGGCUUUUUUUUUUUUUAUAUCCUUUGAGUUAUGUUCAGAUGUUGUACAUCUGGAUUUAAAUUUCUGUAUCAGACUCCCUGUUAGAUCAUGACUUAUGGUUAUAGGGCUGUUAAAUAUAGCUACCUCUGAGUAAGGGAGGGUUGUAAGGAAGAUGAUCAUAUGCUGUUGGAGAACACGGGAACUUGAAAGGCAGGGGUGUUCCAAUCUGUAGAACAAGAAUGAGCAAUUAAGUGUAAUUAUUAGGGUGGGUGGGUAUUAGUAUUAUAGUAUUAUAUACUGGUAUAAGACAUGAGAAUAUCCUUUGAAGACAUUUCUUUUAGAAAAACUGGUCCCCAGAGUUACAGAAAGAUAAACAAAAUAUGUUAGAUGAGUGUACAUAACCCCUUAAGUAUAGCACCAACAGUACUUAGGACACAUAAACAGCUCUAGGAUAUUUGAUUACAAAGGCAAGAAAUAAUUUUCUGACUGGUGGCAUGAGUGACUUGCUGACUGAUACAGAAAACUGCCGAAAAACUAGUCAAAGUGUGGACAUUUAAGAUGGUUUUUGAGUUAUCCCCUAAGCUAAGUCGGCCAUUUUGGAGCACUGUAGGGAUGUAAAAUUAUUAAAUGUAAUGGCUGUUCUCAGAAGACUUGAGGUCAGACACUUUUUACACAGCAAUCUGAAUUUAAAUGAUGAUUAGUUGAGUCAGAAAAACUGUGGACACGAUUUAGUACUGUGGUUACUCACCACAGAAUUGUGUGCCCUACCUCAGUGAUGUAAAGCGAGCCUGAG
This is a long non-coding RNA of Astatotilapia calliptera (eastern happy), 1286 nucleotides long. NCBI's taxonomy places the organism in Eukaryota, Metazoa, Chordata, Actinopteri, Cichliformes, Cichlidae. The record is from Ensembl.